Molecule: non-coding RNA, 657 nt
Organism: Nicotiana tabacum (common tobacco)
Lineage: Eukaryota; Viridiplantae; Streptophyta; Magnoliopsida; Solanales; Solanaceae
Source: RefSeq, a predicted model, not a curated record
AAGAUAUGAUGGGGGAUAUUCAGGUCCUUGUUUAUAACUGAUCAAGUCUUGAGCACUUUUACCUUGGGAAAAUAGAGUUUGACGAAUUGUUUGCAUAUCAUAUGUUACUGCUCAAGUCCAAAAACAUAUGAUGGAAUAAUUCUUUAGGAAGGGAUUUGGAGGAUAGCAAGAAGUGAAACAAAAGGUGGGCAACCUCUGUACUAUAUGAAAGUUAUCUUAUAUCUCAGAUUUUUCAAGUUUUUAUAUAUCUUUCAACAAAUACCUUCACAAUCAGCUCAUCGGCGCAUAGAGUUUUAGUUGUGAUGCAGGCUGGUGGAAUUCACACGCACCAAGAAUCAGCCCAUCGACGCAUUUGGAGUUGAGGCUGCUGUAUCCUUGAUCGAGAUGUGAAUUCAAUUUAAGUCAGAGUGUAUAUAAUAUAGGCAAGUACAGUGAUGAAGAAGUUGUGAAUACAAUGCCAUUCUCCUCAUCUCUUUCACCAAUCUUUCAAAUGCUACACACUGAGUGGCUCAAAUUUUUAAAAGCAGAAUAAUGGGUGUAAUGCCACUUCCAUUAUUACUAUUCAAAUUUGUACUGCUUUCUACCAGCAUAUGCUAUUUAUUGUAACUUUUACCUACUAUAUAGCAUGGAAAAUCAACCAAAUAUUCUAAGGUCAAA